GUGCUUCCUUCAGCAGCACAUAAACUUAAAGCGGAACAAUAAAGAGAAGAUCGGCAUGGCCACUGCACAAGGGUGACAGGCAAAUUUGUGAAGAAUUUCAUAUUUUU
Cercocebus atys (sooty mangabey) is the source of this 107-nucleotide small nuclear RNA. The record is from Ensembl. NCBI's taxonomy places the organism in Eukaryota, Metazoa, Chordata, Mammalia, Primates, Cercopithecidae.